This 469-nucleotide ribosomal RNA is filed under the name uncultured bacterium. RNAcentral describes it as "partial 16S ribosomal RNA". It matches the Rfam family "Bacterial small subunit ribosomal RNA", at positions 28 to 507 of the family's 1533-position model. The record is from RNAcentral.
GACGAACGCUGGCGGCGUGCUUAACACAUGCAAGUCGAACGAUGAUCUCCCGCUUGCGGGGGUGCUUAGUGGCGAACGGGUGAGUAAUACGUGAGUAACCUGCCCUUGACUCUGGGAUAAGCCUGGGAAACCGGGUCUAAUACUGGAUACUACUUCCUGCCGCAUGGUGGGGGGUGGAAAGGGUUUUACUGGUUUUGGAUGGGCUCACGGCCUAUCAGCUCGUUGGUGGAGUAAUGGCUCACCAAGGCGACGACGGGUAGCCGGCCUGAGAGGGUGACCGGCCACACUGGGACUGGGACACAGCCCAGACUCCAACGGGAGGCAGCAGUGGGGAAUAUUGCACAAUGGGCGGAAGCCUGAUGCAGCGACGCCGCGUGAGGGAUGACAGACAUCGGGUUGUAAACCUCUUUCAGAAGGGAAGAAGCUACAAGUGACGGUACCUGAAGAAGAAGCGCCGGCUAACUACGUG